This 301-nucleotide ribosomal RNA is filed under the name uncultured bacterium. RNAcentral describes it as "partial 16S ribosomal RNA". It matches the Rfam family "Bacterial small subunit ribosomal RNA", at positions 509 to 807 of the family's 1533-position model. The record is from RNAcentral.
CAGUCGCCACGGUAAUACGUAGGUGGCAAGCGUUGUCCGGAAUUAUUGGGCGUAAAGGGCUCGCAGGCGGUUUCUUAAGUCUGAUGUGAAAGCCCCCGGCUCAACCGGGGAGGGUCAUUGGAAACUGGGAAACUUGAGUGCAGAAGAGGAGAGUGGAAUUCCACGUGUAGCGGUGAAAUGCGUAGAGAUGUGGAGGAACACCAGUGGCGAAGGCGACUCUCUGGUCUGUAACUGACGCUGAGGGGCGAAAGCGUGGGGAGCGAACAGGAUUAGAUACCCGGGUAGUCCCUGUCUCUUAUAC